AACGCGAAGAACCUUACCUACCCUUGACAUCCAAAGAAGACUGCAGAGAUGUGGUUGUGCCGAAAGGAACUUUGAGACAGGUGCUGCAUGGCUGUCGUCAGCUCGUGUUGUGAGAUGUUGGGUUAAGUCCCGUAACGAGCGCAACCCUUAUCCUUAGUUGCCAGCAUUAAGUUGGGGACUCUAAGGAGACUGCCGGUGAUGAACCGGAGGAAGGCGGGGACGACGUCAAGUCAUCAUGGCCUUUAUGGGUAGGGCUACACACGUGCUACAAUGGGCGGUACAGAGGGCAGCAAGCGUGCGAGCGCAAGCGAAUCCCUUAAAGCCGUUCGUAGUCCGGAUCGGAGUCUGCAACUCGACUCCGUGAAGUCGGAAUCGCUAGUAAUCGCGAAUCAGAAUGUCGCGGUGAAUACGUUCCCGGGCCUUGUACACACCGAUACUC
RNAcentral lists this ribosomal RNA (439 nucleotides) under uncultured bacterium. RNAcentral's name for it is "bacterial SSU rRNA". It matches the Rfam family "Bacterial small subunit ribosomal RNA", at positions 958 to 1398 of the family's 1533-position model. The record is from RNAcentral.